Molecule: long non-coding RNA, 988 nt
Organism: Nothobranchius furzeri (turquoise killifish)
Lineage: Eukaryota; Metazoa; Chordata; Actinopteri; Cyprinodontiformes; Nothobranchiidae
Source: RefSeq, a predicted model, not a curated record
ACACUGCAACAUUGGUAGGCGUUGCCUGGAGGACCGAGAGGGCGGAGCCGCGGCAGUGACGAAGACGAUGGCUAACUAGACGAAGCUAGCUCCCUUCACUCUGAGCAGUCAUUAGAAGUGGAGGACGUUUCUCCCCCUCCUUACCCAGACACUCGAGAAGAAAGGGACCAAGUCUAAUUGGAGGAGACAAGCGGACAUGAGCCUUAUUGUUUUGAGCUUGUGAGUUGCCUGAAAUUACCGGAACCGACCCAACAGAACCAUCUCUGAAUGUGAUCCUCUGGUGUCUGCAGCUGGUCUCUGCUGGUGUCGUCAGGAUCAGGAGCUUCCAGAAGAAUGUGCCUUUCAAUGACUCUUUCCCCCUUAUUUGUUAUAUUAAUUAAAUGAAUCUCAAUUUAUACAUUUCCUGUUUUUGUUCAUGUCCAUAAAUACUUAAACAUGCUUGAAAUUAAAACAAGCUUUUAACAGUGAGGUGCUAGUUUAGUUCAUCACAAUAGAGCUAGAUAAACAUGCGACAAUGUGAUAAUUCAAUUAAUGUAAUUUAUAAAUAUCCAUUAAAAUAUCAAAACUGGAAUCAAAAUCAGACAUUUGGCAGCACAAAAAACUUGUCAAACACAAUAUUUAUUAUAAUAAUUGUAGGCAGACAGGAGACAGAGCUGAUGGAGGUUCUCAGUCAUCGAAGGAUGGCUGAAGGCUUUCCAGGAACAGGAGAUGUGGUGUUGUCUCUUCUCUCUCUAUUCUGCCAGAUGAGCUGAUAGGUUACAGGUGUGUGAGGACAUCCUCAUGCUGUCAUAACCAGAUGACAGGAGUUAUCAGGUGAUCAGCCAGGCUAAUGAUGAGAUGCAGAAAGAAAACAAAUCAUGCAGAAAGAAAACAAAUCCAGGACAGUGUACAGUAAUAAAAAUAAUAUGUGGUGUUGCUCACCUUAUGUGCUCUUAUAGAGUUAUUAACGUGUGCCUGCCUCAUGGUGUAGAGUCCAUAUUUUGCUGAG